This 620-nucleotide ribosomal RNA is filed under the name uncultured bacterium. RNAcentral describes it as "bacterial SSU rRNA". It matches the Rfam family "Bacterial small subunit ribosomal RNA", at positions 338 to 956 of the family's 1533-position model. The record is from RNAcentral.
CCUACGGGAGGCAGCAGUGGGGAAUUUUGGACAAUGGGCGAAAGCCUGAUCCAGCAAUGCCGCGUGUGGGAAGAAGGCCUUCGGGUUGUAAACCACUUUUGUACGGAACGAAACGGCUCGCUUUAAUACAGUGGGCUAAUGACGGUACCGUAAGAAUAAGCACCGGCUAACUACGUGCCAGCAGCCGCGGUAAUACGUAGGGUGCGAGCGUUAAUCGGAAUUACUGGGCGUAAAGCGUGCGCAGGCGGUUAUAUAAGACAGUUGUGAAAUCCCCGGGCUCAACCUGGGAAUUGCAUCUGUGACUGUAUAGCUAGAGUACGGUAGAGGGGGAUGGAAUUCCGCGUGUAGCAGUGAAAUGCGUAGAUAUGCGGAGGAACACCGAUGGCGAAGGCAAUCCCCUGGACCUGUACUGACGCUCAUGCACGAAAGCGUGGGGAGCAAACAGGAUUAGAUACCCUGGUAGUCCACGCCCUAAACGAUGUCAACUGGUUGUUGGGUGCAUUAGUACUCAGUAACGAAGCUAACGCGUGAAGUUGACCGCCUGGGGAGUACGGCCGCAAGGUUGAAACUCAAAGAGUAGUAGCGNGNGAGAGCGACGACGACGACGACGGAGGAGGAGG